Molecule: ribosomal RNA, 573 nt
Filed under: Corynelia africana
Lineage: Eukaryota; Fungi; Ascomycota; Eurotiomycetes; Coryneliales; Coryneliaceae
Description: eukaryotic LSU rRNA
Rfam family: Eukaryotic large subunit ribosomal RNA
Source: RNAcentral
AAACCAACAGGGAUUGCCUCAGUAACGGCGAGUGAAGCGGCAACAGCUCAAAUUUGAAAUCUGGCUCCAAUCGGGGCCCGAGUUGUAAUUUGUAGAGGAUGCUUUGGGUACGGCCACGGUCUAAGUUCUCUGGAACGAGGCGUCAUAGAGGGUGAGAAUCCCGUCUAGGGCCGCCGGUCACGCCUAGGUAAAGCUCCUUCGACGAGUCGAGUUGUUUGGGAAUGCAGCUCUAAAUGGGUGGUAUAUUUCAUCUAAAGCUAAAUAUUGGCCAGAGACCGAUAGCGCACAAGUAGAGUGAUCGAAAGAUGAAAAGCACUUUGAAAAGAGAGUUAAACAGCAUGUGAAAUUGUUGAAAGGGAAACGUUUGCGACCAGACUCAGCCGUGGCGGCUCACCUUGCGUUUUUCGCCUGGGCAUUCCACUUCGGUUGGGCCAGCAUCGGUUUGGGCGGCCGGUCAAAGGCCUCUGGAAGGUAGCAUCCCCCGGGAUGUCUUAUAGCCAGAGGUGCAAUGCGGCCUGUCUGGAUCGAGGAUCGCGCUUCGGCACGGAUGCUGGCGUAAUGGUCAUAAACGAC